UCCAUCUUUCCUCCCCUUUGUUGCACUCCUGUCUUUGGUCACAUGGAGCUAACUCACUAGUGCUUAAGUAGACUGAGGAAAGGAAUUGAACUUCCUACCUUCUGCCUCUGGAACACAUGGGUCAGGGGAGCCACUUGGCAGUCUUUAUGAGCGCCAAACACCUUGCACAAGGAACAGGACCAUGGGAUUGCUCGGUGCUGCCCCUCCAGCCUGUAGCCCCAGAAAUCUUUCCCACCUUCAAGUCUGAGAAUUAAGGGGCCAAGAAGAAACAGAACUAGGUAGGUGUGGGUGUAGCCUCCUUACAUAAAACCCAGAAUAUUUGAUGUAUUCCAUAUAAAGACUGAACC
Long non-coding RNA from Mastomys coucha (southern multimammate mouse), 347 nucleotides. RefSeq lists it as uncharacterized. NCBI's taxonomy places the organism in Eukaryota, Metazoa, Chordata, Mammalia, Rodentia, Muridae. The record is from RefSeq and is a predicted model, not a curated record. The transcript is spliced from 2 exons.